GACGAACGCUGGCGGCGUGCUUAACACAUGCAAGUCGAACGGAAAGGCCCUGCUUUUGUGGGGUGCUCGAGUGGCGAACGGGUGAGUAACACGUGAGUAACCUGCCCUUGACUUUGGGAUAACUUCAGGAAACUGGGGCUAACACCGGAUAGGAGCUCCUGCUGCAUGGUGGGGGUUGGAAAGUUUCGGCGGUUGUGGAUGGACUCGCGGCUUAUCAGCUUGUUGGUGGGGUAGUGGCUUACCAAGGCUUUGACGGGUAGCCGGCCUGAGAGGGUGACCGGCCACAUUGGGACUGAGAUACGGCCCAGACUCCUACGGGAGGCAGCAGUGGGGAAUAUUGCACAAUGGGCGGAAGCCUGAUGCAGCAACGCCGCGUGCGGGAUGACGGCCUUCGGGGUGUAAACCGCUUUCGCCUGUGACGAAGCGUGAGUGACGGUAAUGGGUAAAGAAGCACCGGCUAACUACGUG
This 468-nucleotide ribosomal RNA is filed under the name uncultured bacterium. Its description in RNAcentral is "partial 16S ribosomal RNA". It matches the Rfam family "Bacterial small subunit ribosomal RNA", at positions 28 to 507 of the family's 1533-position model. The record is from RNAcentral.